Molecule: ribosomal RNA, 251 nt
Filed under: uncultured prokaryote
Description: partial 16S rRNA
Rfam family: Bacterial small subunit ribosomal RNA
Source: RNAcentral
ACGGAGGAUCCAAGCGUUAUCCGGAUUUAUUGGGUUUAAAGGGUGCGCAGGCGGAUCAAUAAGUCAGGGGUGAAAAAUUUCAGCUUAACUGGAAUCGUGCCUUUGAUACUGUUGGACUAGAGUAUAAUUGACGUGACUUUAAUGUGAUGUGUAGAGGUGAAAUGCUUAGAUAUGUCACAGAAGGAAAAUCGUGAAGAAGGGUAAAUAAAUUAUUACUGACGCUCAUGCAAGAAAGGGUGGGGAUCAAACAG